UACGAAGGGGGCUAGCGUUGCUCGGAAUCACUGGGCGUAAAGCGCACGUAGGCGGAUUUCUAAGUCAGGGGUGAAAUCCUGGAGCUCAACUCCAGAACUGCCUUUGAUACUGGGAAUCUUCGAGUCCGGGAGAGGUGAGUGGAACUGCGAGUGUAGAGGUGAAAUUCGUAGAUAUUCGCAAGAACACCAGUGGCGAAGGCGGCUCACUGGCCCGGUACUGACGCUGAGGUGCGAAAGCGUGGGGAGCAAACAGG
Molecule: ribosomal RNA, 254 nt
Filed under: uncultured bacterium
Lineage: Bacteria
Description: partial 16S ribosomal RNA
Rfam family: Bacterial small subunit ribosomal RNA
Source: RNAcentral